Molecule: unclassified non-coding RNA, 357 nt
Filed under: fungal sp.
Lineage: Eukaryota; Fungi
Description: partial internal transcribed spacer region
Rfam family: Eukaryotic small subunit ribosomal RNA (bases 1-46)
Source: RNAcentral
AAGUCGUAACAAGGUUUCCGUAGGUGAACCUGCGGAAGGAUCAUUAACACGUAUCCAACGUUAAACAACCCUGUGAACUUUCAACGCUCUUGUAACCAGGCGGAACAGCAAUCCCGGUAAAUCAGUGGGCGGAAAAGUUUUGAUUCGGGACCUCUGUCCAAAAGUUACAAUCGAGCUAGGAGCAGUGGCAUGGUUUCCCUAAGCAGUGCAGAAGGAUCCACUGAGUAAGGAUAACGCAUCACGGUUGCCAGAGGUCGAUCACCGGCCGGCAGACAUGUCACAGGGCUAUAUGCCCCUUCAUUCACAACGCCGGGCACAAAAACCGAACAACUGUUAACAAUGGAUAUCUUGGUUCUC